GAUGAACGCUGGCGGCGUGCCUAAUACAUGCAAGUCGAGCGAACAGACGAGGAGCUUGCUCCUCUGACGUUAGCGGCGGACGGGUGAGUAACACGUGGAUAACCUACCUAUAAGACUGGGAUAACUUCGGGAAACCGGAGCUAAUACCGGAUAAUAUAUUGAACCGCAUGGUUCAAUAGUGAAAGACGGUUUUGCUGUCACUUAUAGAUGGAUCCGCGCUGCAUUAGCUAGUUGGUAAGGUAACGGCUUACCAAGGCAACGAUGCGUAGCCGACCUGAGAGGGUGAUCGGCCACACUGGAACUGAGACACGGUCCAGACUCCUACGGGAGGCAGCAGUAGGGAAUCUUCCGCAAUGGGCGAAAGCCUGACGGAGCAACGCCGCGUGAGUGAUGAAGGCCUUCGGAUCGUAAAACUCUGUUAUUAGGGAAGAACAAAUGUGUAAGUAACUGUGCACGUCUUGACGGUACCUAAUCAGAAAGCCACGGCUAACUACGUG
RNAcentral lists this ribosomal RNA (497 nucleotides) under uncultured bacterium. Its description in RNAcentral is "partial 16S ribosomal RNA". It matches the Rfam family "Bacterial small subunit ribosomal RNA", at positions 28 to 507 of the family's 1533-position model. The record is from RNAcentral.